GCGCCCGUAGCUCAGCUGGAUAGAGCGCCGGACUUCGAAUCCGUAGGCCGCAGGUUCGAACCCUGCCGGGCGCGCUA
RNAcentral lists this transfer RNA (77 nucleotides) under Thermodesulfobacteriaceae bacterium. RNAcentral's name for it is "tRNA-Arg". It matches the Rfam family "tRNA". Rfam says of the family: Transfer RNA (tRNA) molecules are approximately 80 nucleotides in length. The record is from RNAcentral. Lineage: Bacteria; Pseudomonadati; Thermodesulfobacteriota; Thermodesulfobacteria; Thermodesulfobacteriales; Thermodesulfobacteriaceae.